UACCGUAAGGUAGGCAAACGCAGGGAACUGAAACAUCUAAGUACCUGCAGGAGAAGAAAACAAACGUGAUUCCCCCAGUAGCGGCGAGCGACCGGGGAUAAGCCCAAACCGUUAUUGUUUCGGCAGUAGCGGGGUAGUAGGACUGCGACAUUGAUGAAAUAAAUGAAAUGGAACACCUUGGAAAAUGUGAUCACAGAGGGUGAUAAUCCCGUACAUGUAAGUUUAUGAAUCAUAGCAGACUCCUGAGUAAGUCGGGACACGUGUAAUCCUGACCGAAUCCGCCGGGACCAUCCGGCAAGGCUAAAUACUCCUGAGAGACCGAUAGUGAACCAGUACCGUGAGGGAAAGGUGAAAAGCACUUCGAACAGAAGAGUGAAAUAGUCCCUGAACCCAUACGCCUACAAGCAGUCGGAGCCGCUUCGUGCGGUGACGGCGUGCCUUUUGCAUAAUGAGCCUACGAGUUACUCAUCACCAGCGAGGUUAAGUACUUCAGGUACGUAAGCCGAAGCGAAAGCGAGUCUGAAUAGGGCGUCAAGUUGGUGGUGGUAGACGCGAAACCUUAGUGAUCUACCCAUGGGCAGGGUGAAGGUUUGGUAACACAAACUGGAGGCCCGAACCGGUAAACGUUGAAAAGUUUUCGGAUGACCUGUGGGUAGGGGUGAAAGGCCAAUCAAACUUGGAGAUAGCUCGUACUCCCCGAAAUGCAUUUAGGUGCAGCCUCUGUUGUUUUGUUCUAGAGGUAGAGCUACUGAUUGGAUGCGAGGGCUUCACCGCCUAUCAAAUCCGGCCAAACUCCGAAUGCUAGAACAUGAAGACAGGGAGUGAGCCAGCGGGUGCUAAGGUCCGUUGACGAAAGAGGGAGAACUCAGACCAUCAGCUAAGGUCCCCAAUUAUAUGCUAAGUUGGAAUUAAAACGGGGUGGGACUGCUUAGACAGCUAGGAUGUUGGCUUGGAAGCAGCCAUUCAUUUAAAGAGUGCGUAACAGCUCACUAGUCGAGCGGUCCUGCAUGGAUAAUACGCGGGCAUAAGCAUAUAACCGAAGCUAUGGGAUUGUAGAUGAUACAAUCGGUAGGAGAGCAUUCCAUUCAGCAUAGAAGCAGUACCGUGAGGUAUUGUGGAGCGGAUGGAAAAGCAAAUGUAGGCAUAAGUAACGAUAAUGCGGGUGAGAACCCCGCACGCCGAAAGAUCAAGGAUUCCCCGGCAAUGUCAAUCAUCCGGGGGUAAGUCGGAUCCUAAGGGUAAGCCGAGUGGCGAUCCCGAUGGCAAACAGGUUAAUAUUCCUGUACUGAUCAUAACUGCGAUGCAGCGACGCAGAGGUGACACUGCUGCGUACUGACGGAAUAGUACGUUGAAACCCGUAUUCUUUGAUACCGGUAGUGAAGCACGCCGGUAGAGAUGAAAGGUGAUAGUACCGCAAUGCUUCGGUUGCGCGGAUAACGCAGGUAAGCUGACUGCCAAGAAAACCUGCUAAGCUUCAGGUAAUGAUCAUCCGUACUGUAAACGGACACACGUGAUCAGGUAGAAAAUACUAAGGCGCUCGAGAGAUUCAUGGUUAAGGAACUAGGCAAAAUGGUCCUGUAACUUCGGGAUAAAGGACGCUCUUGUGAAAGAGCCGCAGAUAAUAGGCCCAGGCGACUGUUUACCAAAAACACAUGGCUAUGCUAAUUCGCAAGAAGAUGUAUAUGGCCUGACACCUGCCCGGUGCCGGAAGGUUAAGAGGAGAGCUCAGAGGUAACUCGAAGGUUUGAAUUGAAGCCCCGGUAAACGGCGGCCGUAACUAUAACGGUCCUAAGGUAGCGAAAUUCCUUGUCGGGUAAGUUCCGACCUGCACGAAUGGUGUAACGAUCUGGGUACUGUCUCAACCAUGAGCUCGGUGAAAUUGUAGUUCCGGUGAAGAUGCCGGAUACCCGCAACGGGACGGAAAGACCCCGUGAACCUUUACUGCAGCUUUGCAUUGAUUUUGGGUAACAGAUGUGUAGGAUAGGUCGGAGGCUUUGAUGCUGCGUCGUCAGGCGUAGAGUAGCCGUCGUUGAAAUACGACCCUUUUGUUAUCUGAGGUCUAAUCCCGUUAGGGAGACAUUGCUUGGUGGGUAGUUUGACUGGGGUGGUCGCCUCCAAAAGUGUAACGGAGGCUUCUCAAGGUACCCUCAAGGCGUUUGGUAAUCGUCUGCAGAGUGCAAUGGCAUAAGGGUGCUUGACUGUGAGACCGACACGUCGAUCAGGUUGGAAACAAGAGCAUAGUGA
This 2244-nucleotide ribosomal RNA is filed under the name human gut metagenome. Its description in RNAcentral is "bacterial LSU rRNA". It matches the Rfam family "Bacterial large subunit ribosomal RNA", at positions 167 to 2418 of the family's 2925-position model. The record is from RNAcentral.